UGUUAGCAUUGCUUUCAUGUGACCACCUGUACAACAUACCACUACUAGAGAACAGAAUCUGAUGGGACACACAGGCAACCACAUGCAUAGGAGUCAUGUAACUAGGAUCAACCACUAGGGUGCACUGCAGCAAUUUAUAGCAAUCUUUGCAUUGACAUCGCACAGAACAUAGCAAUAUCAGCUAUCUACUUGAGUCUGCCUCUUUAGGCAGACAAUAAAGAAGAUCCCUGAAGCAGCUGGAGACAGGGUUUAACCAAUGAGUAUGGAUGGCAUAUCAACAGCACAACUACCAUGUUAAAGUAGCCAUACACUAACUAUCGUCCGACUGUUCGUCCAGCAAAUGGUUCUCUCUCUCUCGCCCUACCCAUACAUAUGAACGUCUGGCAUGGUAUGUAUCCUCUAUAGGCAAGAAUAAGUUGCAGCCAAACUGCUAUGGUGCAUGCUCACCAUUCCCAGAACAGUAAGUAAAAACCCAACAUGCGCAACCAACUCUUUUGUUCACUGACAACUGUUGGGGAAGUGGGGCGUCAGGAGACCACCAUACACUUUACACCAUUUGAUUUAGCAAACUUUUGUAUGGGACCCUUUACAGUUGUUCAGGCUGGCGAUAUAUGAUCUAUCACAGCAGGUGAAGGAUGAUCUUUCUGGGAAUAUUUAGAGAAUAUUAUUUCACAAGAGAUACAGGACAAAAGAUCUUUCCUGAGCAAACAAUCAUGCACCCGACUAUUAGACAAAAAAUUUCAACAGUUGCUUUUCAGACAAUAAAGGUAUCCAGACACUUUGCCAAAGUCAGAUUCC
This is a long non-coding RNA of Hyla sarda, 798 nucleotides long. RefSeq lists it as uncharacterized. Lineage: Eukaryota; Metazoa; Chordata; Amphibia; Anura; Hylidae. The transcript has 3 exons. The record is from RefSeq and is a predicted model, not a curated record.